RNAcentral lists this ribosomal RNA (459 nucleotides) under uncultured bacterium. RNAcentral's name for it is "partial 16S ribosomal RNA". It matches the Rfam family "Bacterial small subunit ribosomal RNA", at positions 338 to 795 of the family's 1533-position model. The record is from RNAcentral.
CCUACGGGAGGCUGCAGUGAGGAAUAUUGGUCAAUGGGCGGGAGCCUGAACCAGCCAAGCCGCGUGAGGGAAGAAGGUACAGCGUAUCGUAAACCUCUUUUGUCAGGGAACAAAGGCGGGGACUAGUCCCCGGAUGAGGGUACCUGAAGAAAAAGCAUCGGCUAACUCCGUGCCAGCAGCCGCGGUAAUACGGAGGAUGCGAGCGUUAUCCGGAUUGAUUGGGUUUAAAGGGUGCGCAGGCGGCCUGUUAAGUCAGCGGUAAAAGCCCGGGGUGCAACCCCGGGGAGCCGUUGAAACUGGCGGUCUGGAGUUGGAGAGAAGUACGCGGAAUGCGCGGUGUAGCGGUGAAAUGCUUAGAUAUCGCGCAGAACCCCGAUUGCGAAGGCAGCGUACCGGCUCCACACUGACGCUGAGGCACGAAAGCGUGGGUAUCGAACAGGAUUAGAUACCCCAGUAGUC